UUUUCCUACGGGACGCAGCAGUGGGGAAUAUUGCACAAUGGGCGAAAGCCUGAUGCAGCGACGCCGCGUGAAGGAUGAGGUAUUUCGGUAUGUAAACUUCUAUCGGCAGGGAAGAAAAUGACGGUACCUGACUAAGAAGCCCCGGCUAACUACGUGCCAGCAGCCGCGGUAAUACGUAGGGGGCAAGCGUUAUCCGGAUUUACUGGGUGUAAAGGGAGCGUAGACGGCGAUGCAAGCCAGAUGUGAAAGCCCGGGGCUCAACCCC
Molecule: ribosomal RNA, 265 nt
Filed under: uncultured bacterium
Lineage: Bacteria
Description: partial 16S ribosomal RNA
Rfam family: Bacterial small subunit ribosomal RNA
Source: RNAcentral